ACGGGAGGCAGCAGUGGGGAAUAUUGGGCAAUGGGCGCAAGCCUGACCCAGCAACGCCGCGUGAGGGAAGAAGGUUUUCGGAUUGUAAACCUCUGUCCUUGGUGACGAAGGAAGUGACGGUACCCGAGAAGGAAGCCCCGGCUAACUACGUGCCAGCAGCCGCGGUAAUACGUAGGGGGCAAGCGUUGUCCGGAAUGACUGGGCGUAAAGGGCGUGUAGGCGGUCGAUUAAGUCCGGAGUGAAAGUCCUGCUUUCAAGGUGGGAAUUGCUUUGGAGACUGGUUGACUUGAGUGCGGAAGAGGUAAGUGGAAUUCCCAGUGUAGCGGUGAAAUGCGUAGAGAUUGGGAGGAACACCAGUGGCGAAGGCGACUUACUGGGCCGUAACUGACGCUGAGGCGCGAAAGUGUGGGGAGCAAACAGGAUUAGAUACCCUGGUA
RNAcentral lists this ribosomal RNA (437 nucleotides) under uncultured bacterium. RNAcentral's name for it is "partial 16S ribosomal RNA". It matches the Rfam family "Bacterial small subunit ribosomal RNA", at positions 341 to 792 of the family's 1533-position model. The record is from RNAcentral.